This 448-nucleotide long non-coding RNA is filed under the name Cyanistes caeruleus (blue tit). RNAcentral's name for it is "lncRNA (ENSCCEG00000004322.1)". Lineage: Eukaryota; Metazoa; Chordata; Aves; Passeriformes; Paridae. The record is from RNAcentral.
GGAGAUCCCAGCAUGAGCAGCUCAGCUUUUUGCUACAAAAGUGCAAAGCAAGGAAGUUUUCCUUUGAAAAUUCUCCAUGGGAACCUCUUUGUUAUGGAGAUACCUUUCAAGAGGAAAAGAGUCCUCAGCUCUCCAUCCUCCCCUGGAGCUGCGAGGGAACAGCCAGGGCAGCUCCUCAAAUGAGAACUGGGACAAAAGGAUCCCUUCCCAAGCCUUUCUUCCACAUCCAGAAAUUCCCUGUGAAAUCCCUGUGAAAUCCAGAAAUAAUGGGGAAGGAGAAACCCCUGCAAUCCAGAAAUGCUGGCUGAAAGGAAGGGAAAGGACAGGAAGAAGCGUGAUACACCCUCAUUCCAAAUGGGGAUUCUUUCAUGGUUUGAGGCUGUUGAGAUGGGAAGGCCCUAAAAGAAGCAGAACUCCUGAAUUCCCUGAAUAUUCCCAGCACUUUUAA